GCUUACUUUGGCAGCACAUAUUAAAACUGGAAUAAUUUAGAGAUUAGCAUGGUCCUGUGCAAGGAUGGCAUGCAAAGCCAUGAAGUGUUAGAUCCGCCU
Molecule: small nuclear RNA, 99 nt
Filed under: Nannospalax galili (Upper Galilee mountains blind mole rat)
Lineage: Eukaryota; Metazoa; Chordata; Mammalia; Rodentia; Spalacidae
Source: RNAcentral